GAUCAUGGCUCAGGAUGAACGCUAGCUACAGGCUUAACACAUGCAAGUCGAGGGGAAACGACAUCGAAAGCUUGCUUUUGAUGGGCGUCGACCGGCGCACGGGUGAGUAACGCGUAUCCAACCUGCCCACCCACUUGGGGAUAACCUUGCGAAAGUAAGACUAAUACCCAAUGAUAUCUCUAGAAGACAUCUGAAAGAGAUUAAAGAUUCAUCGGUGAUGGAUGGGGAUGCGU
RNAcentral lists this ribosomal RNA (233 nucleotides) under uncultured bacterium. RNAcentral's name for it is "partial 16S ribosomal RNA". It matches the Rfam family "Bacterial small subunit ribosomal RNA", at positions 15 to 236 of the family's 1533-position model. The record is from RNAcentral.